GAUGAAGAACGUAGCGAAAUGCGAUACGUAAUGUGAAUUGCAGAAUUCAGUGAAUCAUCGAAUCUUUGAACGCAUAUUGCGCUCUCUGGUAUUCCGGAGUGCAUGCUUGUUUGAGUAUCAGUAAACACCUCAACUCCCUUUUCUUUUUUGAAAUUGGAGCUGGACUUGAGUGAUCCCAACGCUUUCUUCCAAGAAAGUGGCGGGUUGCUUGAAAUGCAGGUGCAGCUGGACUUUUCUCUGAGCUAUAAGCAUAUCUAUUUAGUCUGCCUAAAAAACAGAUUAUUACCUUUGCUGCAGCUAACAUAAAGGAGACUAGUUCUUGUGCUGACUGAUGCAGGAUUCACAGAGACAGCUUCGGCUGACUUUGUAAACUCGAUCUCAAAUCAAGUAAGACUACCCGCUGAACUUAAGCAUAUCAAUAAGCGGAGGA
This 430-nucleotide unclassified non-coding RNA is filed under the name soil metagenome. Its description in RNAcentral is "partial contains 5.8S ribosomal RNA, internal transcribed spacer 2, and large subunit ribosomal RNA". The stretch from base 1 to 120 matches the Rfam family "5.8S ribosomal RNA", at positions 35 to 154 of the family's 154-position model. The record is from RNAcentral.